GCUGGGGUAGCUCAGUCAAUAGAGCACGAGACUAUUAAUCUCAUGGUUGUGGGUUUGAGCACCACGCUGGGAA
Podarcis lilfordi (Lilford's wall lizard) is the source of this 73-nucleotide non-coding RNA. The record is from the annotation of a GenBank genome assembly. Lineage: Eukaryota; Metazoa; Chordata; Lepidosauria; Squamata; Lacertidae.